RNAcentral lists this ribosomal RNA (742 nucleotides) under uncultured bacterium. Its description in RNAcentral is "bacterial SSU rRNA". It matches the Rfam family "Bacterial small subunit ribosomal RNA", at positions 8 to 796 of the family's 1533-position model. The record is from RNAcentral.
AGAGUUUGAUCAUGGCUCAGGACGAACGCUGGCGGCAGGCUUAACACAUGCAAGUCGAACGAUGUAGCAAUACAUAGUGGCGCACGGGUGAGUAACGCGUGGGAAUAUACCUUAUAGUGGGGAAUAACUUUGGGAAACUAAAGCUAAUACCGCAUACGCCCGAGAGGGGAAAGAUUUAUCGCUAUAAGAUUAGCCCGCGUGAGAUUAGGUAGUUGGUGGGGUAAUGGCCUACCAAGCCUACGAUCUCUAGCUGGUCUGAGAGGAUGAUCAGCCACACUGGAACUGAGACACGGUCCAGACUCCUACGGGAGGCAGCAGUGGGGAAUAUUGGGCAAUGGAGGAAACUCUGACCCAGCCAUGCUGCGUGAAUGAUGAAGGCCUUAGGGUUGUAAAGUUCUUUCGCCGAUGAAGAUAAUGACGGUAGUCGGAGAAGAAGCCCCGGCUAACUUCGUGCCAGCAGCCGCGGUAAUACGUAGGGGGCUAGCGUUGUUCGGAAUUACUGGGCGUAAAGCGAGCGUAGGUUGCUCGAUAAGUCAGUGGUGAAAGCCCAGAGCUCAACUCUGGAACUGCCAUUGAAACUGUCGAGCUGGAAUCUCAGAGGGGGUAGCGGAAUUCCAAAUGUAGGGGUGAAAUCCGUAGAUAUUUGGAGGAACACCGGUGGCGAAGGCGGCUACCUGGAUGAGUAUUGACACUGAGGCUCGAAAGCGUGGGGAUCAAACAGGAUUAGAUACCCCGGUAGUCC